Molecule: small nuclear RNA, 121 nt
Organism: Bufo gargarizans (Asiatic toad)
Lineage: Eukaryota; Metazoa; Chordata; Amphibia; Anura; Bufonidae
Product: U1 spliceosomal RNA
Exons: 1
Source: RefSeq, a predicted model, not a curated record
GUUCUUACCUGGCAGGGGAUCACUAAGGUGAUUCUCCUAGGAUGAGGCCCAUCCGUUGCACUGCGUGAAAUUUGACUACAUAAUUUGUGGUAGUGGAGGACUGUGUUCGCAUAUUCCCCUG